This 1489-nucleotide long non-coding RNA is filed under the name Androctonus crassicauda. The record is from RNAcentral. Lineage: Eukaryota; Metazoa; Arthropoda; Arachnida; Scorpiones; Buthidae.
AGGAUGAUACGGCCGUGCUGCUCGACUUGGCGGCGGCACUGCCGUGCCUCCAGAUGACUUAUUCUAACUUACUUAAAUCUUGAUUCAGAUAUUGAUCCUUGGAUUAUUUUGUACCGUUAUUUUCACUCCUACUUUAUUGUUUCCGCCACACUACAGAUGGUAGAUAUCCGGCUACAACUAGAUGCCAUAAUACAACUCAUCGGAACGGAAUUAAGAGCUACCCGUUUCAAAUAUGCAGUAACCUUAAAAUCUAAAGUCAAAACUGUCCAAUAUGAAACACCAGUGGCAGGAGUACAGGUAGAAUGCUGUAAAUGAAGGAAAGAUAAUCUGGGAGCCCAGGUGAGCGAAGGAGACAUACUCUAUGCCAGGGACGAAGAAAUGCUAGAAGUAACAGUAGCUAUAAAGAAAAAAUUGAGAAAGGAUAUUUAUUUUUAAUUUAUUUUCCAUUUCCCUUUUCUGAAAUAGUAGAACUGAAAGAAAUAUAACAUUACAUAAUUCAUAAUUCAAACCUGGAGAAAUCGAUUAGAAUUAUCUUUUAUUCCUAGGUGGUCAAUUAUCAUGGCAGAAGGGUGGAGCGACGGUUGGGGAGAUAAUACUCCCAUGGGCUCACCAUGGGAAUCUUCGCCAGCCUCCACGUCCCCACAACAACGGAAUACAGCUACGACUCAACGGAUAGAACCGGCUGUCAUCAGUCGAGCGAUCAUUCGAGGGGAACUGAUCAACUCAGAAAAUUCAAAUGAUUUGAAGAUGCAAUCUUACUAUCGGUAGGAAUAAAUCCACCCAGAUGCAUGCAAGUGCAGUUGGCUCACUUCCACAUCAAGAAUGAAAUCUCUAACGUAUCUAAAGCUACCGAAUCUUCUCUAUCUUCAACCAUACAGCAAAAUUUUUCCGCAAGACGCCAACAAAUAGACAAGUAGAAAUAUCAAAUUCAGAAAUAAAUUACUAAGAGAACUCAAUAUUAUCAAACCAAAUUACUUCCGACGAAAGGUCCGGAAAUAACGGCUCAACUGCUAUCCCGGCUCGCAUCGUUGGGACAGGUAGAGUGCCUCGCCGUUAGAAAAAAAAUACUAUUCUACAUCUACAUAAUUAUAUAGGGUAUAUAUAUAUAGAUACAUAUUUUUAUAUUUAUGCAAUCCUGUAGUAAUGAAUUAUACACAUUUAGCGAAUUUUAAUUACUUAAUAUUAUUACAUUUAUAUCAUAUAACCAUGUCCAUAUAUAUAUCCAUGUAUAUCUCAAAUUCAUAUUUCAUCACAAUAAAUAUUUCUUUUUCUUUAUCUUGCCUCUUCACUUUAUGUCGAAUCCGCAUUCAGAAGAGAGUCGGUCGGUUCUUACGCGAAGAUUAACUCCGCGAGAAAGAGUUCUAGGAUAAAUAAUUGUAAGAAAAGAAAUUAAUAUUCAAAAUGAAUCUACAGAUGUAGAUCAUUUUAGAAAGUGAGGAGUAUUGUGAGGGACAGGAGCGCAGAUUGUAUGUGGUGUCUGUCUCCUCCC